CAGCAGCCGCGGGAAUACAGAGGGUGCAAGCGUUAAUCGGAUUUACUGGGCGUAAAGGGCGCGUAGGUGGUUAUUUAAGUGAGAUGUGAAAGCCCCGGGCUUAACCUGGGAACUGCAUCUUAUACUGGGUAACUGGAGUGCAGUAGAGGGUAGUGGAAUUUCCGGUGUAGCGGUGAAAUGCGUAGAUAUCGGAAGGAACACCAGUGGCGAAGGCGGCUACCUGGACUGAGACUGACACUGAGGCGCGAGAGCGUGGGGAGCAAACAGGAUUAGAUACCCGCGUAGUCCCUGUCUCUUAUAC
Molecule: ribosomal RNA, 301 nt
Filed under: uncultured bacterium
Lineage: Bacteria
Description: partial 16S ribosomal RNA
Rfam family: Bacterial small subunit ribosomal RNA
Source: RNAcentral